RNAcentral lists this ribosomal RNA (1271 nucleotides) under uncultured bacterium. RNAcentral describes it as "bacterial SSU rRNA". It matches the Rfam family "Bacterial small subunit ribosomal RNA", at positions 244 to 1533 of the family's 1533-position model. The record is from RNAcentral.
UUGGCUUCACACCACAGGGCGCACGCGAUUCCGUAGCUGUUCUGAGAGAGGAUGAUACGGUCACAACUUCGACCUGAACCGGCCCGACUCCUACGAGCAGCAGUGGGGAAUAUUUGACAAUGGGCGAAGCUGAUCCAGCCAUGCCGCGUGUGGUGAAGAAGCUCGGGUGUAAGCACCUUCAGUGGAAGAAAGCCUGGGGCUAAUACCCUCGAGGAAGACAUCACCCACAGAGAGCACCGGCUAACUCCGUGCCAGCAGCCGCGGUAAUACGGAGGGUGCGAGCGUUAAUCGGAAUUACUGGGCGUAAAGCGCGCGUAGGCGGUCUGAUAAGCCGGUUGUGAAAGCCCCGGGCUCAACCUGGGAACGGCAUCCGGAACUGUCAGGCUAGAGUGCAGGAGAGGAAGGUAGAAUUCCCGGUGUAGCGGUGAAAUGCGUAGAGAUCGGGAGGAAUACCAGUGGCGAAGGCGGCCUUCUGGACUGACACUGACGCUGAGGUGCGAAAGCGUGGGUAGCAAACAGGAUUAGAUACCCUGGUAGUCCACGCCGUAAACGAUGUCGACUAGCCGUUGGGCUCCUUGAGAGCUUUGUGGCGCAGUUAACGCGAUAAGUCGACCGCCUGGGGAGUACGGCCGCAAGGUUAAAACUCAAAUGAAUUGACGGGGGCCCGCACAAGCGGUGGAGCAUGUGGUUUAAUUCGAUGCAACGCGAAGAACCUUACCUACCCUUGACAUCGUGCGAACUUUCCAGAGAUGGAUUGGUGCCUUCGGGAACGCACAGACAGGUGCUGCAUGGCUGUCGUCAGCUCGUGUUGUGAAAUGUUGGGUUAAGUCCCGUAACGAGCGCAACCCUUGUCCUUAUUUGCCAGCGAGUCAUGUCGGGAACUCUAAGGAGACUGCCGGUGACAAACCGGAGGAAGGUGGGGACGACGUCAAGUCAUCAUGGCCCUUACGGGUAGGGCUACACACGUGCUACAAUGGCCGGUACAAAGGGUUGCGAAGCCGCGAGGUGGAGCUAAUCCCGAAAAGCUGGUCUCAGUCCGGAUCGGAGUCUGCAACUCGACUCCGUGAAGUCGGAAUCGCUAGUAAUCGUGAAUCAGAAUGUCACGGUGAAUACGUUCCCGGGCCUUGUACACACCGCCCGUCACACCAUGGGAGUGGACUGCACCAGAAGUGGUUAGCCUAACUUCGGAGGGCGAUCACCACGGUGUGGUUCAUGACUGGGGUGAAGUCGUAACAAGGUAACCAAUCUCUAGAGGUCCCCGUUCAGAUCCU